This 350-nucleotide ribosomal RNA is filed under the name uncultured fungus. RNAcentral's name for it is "eukaryotic LSU rRNA". The stretch from base 1 to 99 matches the Rfam family "5.8S ribosomal RNA", at positions 56 to 154 of the family's 154-position model. Lineage: Eukaryota; Fungi. The record is from RNAcentral.
CGAUAAGUAAUGUGAAUUGCAGAAUUCAGUGAAUCAUCGAAUCUUUGAACGCACCUUGCGCUCCCUGGUAUUCCGGGGAGCAUGCCUGUUUGAGUGUCAUGGAAUUCUCAACUUCUAAUACUUUUUUGUUAUCAGAAGCUUGGAUUUGGAGGCUCGUGCUGGCUCUCUCGUUAGAGUCGGCUCCUCUUAAAUGAAUUAGCGUGAAUCACUAUGGAUCGCUUCGGUGUGAUAAUUAUCUGCGCCGUAGUCGUGAAGUAUUAAUAAAAGUUCUCGCUUCUAAUCGUCCUUCACGGGACAAUUAACCCUGACUUUUUGACCUCAAAUCAGGUAGGACUACCCGCUGAACUUAA